UACGGGGGAUGCAAGCGUUAUCCGGAUUUAUUGGGUUUAAAGGGUGCGCAGGCGGUCUGUUAAGUCAGCGGUCAAAGCCCGGGGCUCAACCCCGGCCCGCCGUUGAAACUGGCAGUCUCGAGUUGGAGAGAAGUAUGCGGAAUGCGCGGUGUAGCGGUGAAAUGCAUAGAUAUCACGCAGAACUCCGAUUGCGAAGGCAGCAUACCGGUGCACAACUGACGCUCAGGCUCGAAAGCAUGGGUAGCGAACAGG
This 252-nucleotide ribosomal RNA is filed under the name uncultured Bacteroidales bacterium. RNAcentral describes it as "partial 16S ribosomal RNA". It matches the Rfam family "Bacterial small subunit ribosomal RNA", at positions 524 to 776 of the family's 1533-position model. Lineage: Bacteria; Pseudomonadati; Bacteroidota; Bacteroidia; Bacteroidales. The record is from RNAcentral.